Molecule: non-coding RNA, 125 nt
Organism: Brachypodium distachyon (stiff brome)
Lineage: Eukaryota; Viridiplantae; Streptophyta; Magnoliopsida; Poales; Poaceae
Source: Rfam
AUUGUACUCCCUCUGUCCAACAAAGGAUGUCUUAAUUUUGACUAAAUUUAGAUGCAUCUAUACACUAAAUACCAUCAUAUUUUGACAAACUUGAGACAUCUUUUGUUGGACGGAGGGAGUAUCAA